UGGGGAAUAUUGCACAAUGGGCGCAAGCCUGAUGCAGCCAUGCCGCGUGUGUGAAGAAGGCCUUCGGGUUGUAAAGCACUUUCAGCGGGGAGGAAGGCGGUGAGGUUAAUAACCUCAUCGAUUGACGUUACCCGCAGAAGAAGCACCGGCUAACUCCGUGCCAGCAGCCGCGGUAAUACGGAGGGUGCAAGCGUUAAUCGGAAUUACUGGGCGUAAAGCGCACGCAGGCGGUCUGUCAAGUCGGAUGUGAAAUCCCCGGGCUCAACCUGGGAACUGCAUUCGAAACUGGCAGGCUAGAGUCUUGUAGAUGGGGGUAGAAUUCCAGGUGUAGCGGUGAAAUGCGUAGAGAUCUGGAGGAAUACCGGUGGCGAAGGCGGCCCCCUGGACAAAGACUGACGCUCAGGUGCGAAAGCGUGGGGAGCAAACAGG
RNAcentral lists this ribosomal RNA (429 nucleotides) under Chloroflexota bacterium. RNAcentral describes it as "Chloroflexi bacterium partial 16S ribosomal RNA". It matches the Rfam family "Bacterial small subunit ribosomal RNA", at positions 355 to 776 of the family's 1533-position model. Lineage: Bacteria; Bacillati; Chloroflexota. The record is from RNAcentral.